UACGUAGGCAGCAAGCGUUGUUCGGAGUUACUGGGCGUAAAGGGUGUGUAGGCGGUCGGAUAAGUGUGGUGUGAAAUCUCCCGGCUCAACUGGGAGGGUGCGCUACAAACUGUCUGGCUAGAGUGCGGGAUGGGAAAGUGGAAUUCCUGGUGUAGCGGUGAAAUGCGUAGAUAUCAGGAGGAACACCGGUGGUGUAGACGGCUUUCUGGACCGUAACUGACGCUGAAACACGAAAGCGUGGGUAGCAAACAGG
Molecule: ribosomal RNA, 253 nt
Filed under: uncultured bacterium
Lineage: Bacteria
Also listed under: 2 other names
Description: partial 16S ribosomal RNA
Rfam family: Bacterial small subunit ribosomal RNA
Source: RNAcentral